GAUGAAGAACGUAGCGAAAUGCGAUAAGUAAUGUGAAUUGCAGAAUUCAGUGAAUCAUCGAAUCUUUGAACGCACAUUGCGCCCGUUAGCAUUCUAGCGGGCAUGCCUGUCCGAGCGUCAUUUCAACCCUCAGGGUCCCCGUUCCGGCGGGGAACCUGGUGUUGGGGAUCGGCCCGCCCCGUGCGGCGCCGUCCCCCAAAUUCAGUGGCGGUCUCGCUGCAGCCUCCCCUGCGUAGUAGUUACAACCUCGCAUCGGAGCUCAGCGCGGGCACGCCGUAAAACCCCCGACUUUCUGAACGUUGACCUCGGAUCAGGUAGGAAUACCCGCUGAACUUAAGCAUAUCAAUAAGCGGAGGA
Molecule: unclassified non-coding RNA, 357 nt
Filed under: soil metagenome
Description: partial contains 5.8S ribosomal RNA, internal transcribed spacer 2, and large subunit ribosomal RNA
Rfam family: 5.8S ribosomal RNA (bases 1-120)
Source: RNAcentral